Molecule: unclassified non-coding RNA, 1263 nt
Filed under: Bombus terrestris (buff-tailed bumblebee)
Lineage: Eukaryota; Metazoa; Arthropoda; Insecta; Hymenoptera; Apidae
Description: misc RNA ENSBTSG00005029480.1
Source: RNAcentral
GCUUUUUAUCAAUUUUCAUGAAAAUUUACAUAUAUAAAUUUCAAUUGUUUAAUACACAAAAUUAACCAUGAUAUCUCAUGAGAAUUUUUUUGUCAUGUUUGAAAAAACCGAAACACGCUGGUAUUUCUCUUAUAUACCUUUGCAAGUACGAUAGUAAUGGUGACACUUCUGGCAGCCGAAGUUAGAUUUGAAGAAUCCUUCGGGACACUCCGAAUGACACUCGCCCGCUGCUAGUUGCCAACCACGAGGGCAGAUCACGCAUUGAUCUCUUCUGGGUCCGGAACACGUUUUACACGACAGCAAACUUACCCCUGAGCACAAGAGGACCUGCACUCUCCACUCUGGAGCUGCAAUCCAUCUUGACAAGCAGUGCAGUUCAGUCGAGACACGCACGUUUUGCAAGUAUGCAAGGAGCAGCGAUGUUUGACAGGAGACACAAUGAUCUUCACCAGGUCCAGCGCAAGUUUUACAUGAAGUAUGGCACUGCUUGCAGUGGCCAUUUUCGUAAUAUUCCGAUGUAUUACAACGAUCACGAUGUUCAGGAGCGCAGAGGCUUUCUUCGUUCAAGCUCCAGCCUUCAUCGCAACUUGUGCAGGUUGACAUGGAGCAGGUAGCACAUCCGGGUGGACAUGGAAUGCAUUCGCGACGCUUUUUGUCCGCUCCAUAACCCGCUGAACAAGACGCUCGACAUGAUCCUGGGAUUUAUAAAAUUCAUUUUAAAUUAAAGCUUAAAUUGUACCGUUGAGUUAUAGCUGACUAUAAUAUUAGGUAGAAUUGUGGUGGCACUCGACAAGCCAAAUAUCACCACUCGACACUAACUAGUGUCGGACAACGGCAGCGCAGUGGUUAGCGCUUUAGGUUACGAACGUUUGGAACCGGGGUUCGAAUCCCGGCGACCGGAGUCCGAUUUUUCUUCCACGCACCAAAUAACGGAGGAAAAAUCAGCAGUACCCCAGCUGUGACAUCUACAGCCCCUAGCGACAAUUACUCCGGACGAGGCCCAACAAGUACAACUAUCACGGACAACAAAUACCACCUCAAACUGGUGAUCCCGACGUGACCGACAGCGAAACAGAGGUAUGACCGUGAUAGCACUACCGAGAGACUUCCAUCAUCGCGAAUCUAAGACUGUGCAAGCUGGACUUACCGCUACAACGAACACGGAACGGCCCUUCCAUCUUCAGCAAACCUGGACACCUUACCUCCGAUCGACGCGCAAAGCAGGUGACAGAAUACGAGACGAUGACCAAGCCAAGAGUGAUG